UACGAAGGGGGCUAGCGUUGUUCGGAAUUACUGGGCGUAAAGCGCACGUAGGCGGAUUGUUAAGUCAGAGGUGAAAUCCCGGAGCUCAACUUCGGAACUGCCUUUGAUACUGGCAAUCUAGAGUCCGGAAGAGGUUAGUGGAAUUCCCAGUGUAGAGGUGAAAUUCGUAGAUAUUGGGAAGAACACCAGUGGCGAAGGCGGCUAACUGGUCCGGUACUGACGCUGAGGCACGAAAGCGUGGGGAGCAAACAGG
RNAcentral lists this ribosomal RNA (253 nucleotides) under uncultured bacterium. Its description in RNAcentral is "partial 16S ribosomal RNA". It matches the Rfam family "Bacterial small subunit ribosomal RNA", at positions 524 to 776 of the family's 1533-position model. The record is from RNAcentral.